Long non-coding RNA from Vespa velutina, 827 nucleotides. RefSeq lists it as uncharacterized. Lineage: Eukaryota; Metazoa; Arthropoda; Insecta; Hymenoptera; Vespidae. The record is from RefSeq and is a predicted model, not a curated record. The transcript is spliced from 2 exons.
UAUAAAAUAAGAAUAACGAUCUAACAUAUGCAUAUGUACAUUUUAUAAUAAUGACUGAAAUGUAGCUGACAUAUCGGCUGAUAUAAACUCGACAGAGGAAAAUAUUCGUUGCAUAAUGUUUCUAAUGCACUUGCCAAGCGGCGCUAAGAUAACAAAAUAAUGACGAUAAUUGCAAUACUGCGCAGUAGAAUAAUAUUGGCUUUAUAAAGAGGGAGAACAUUUACGUAAAAAGAAAUUUUACGUAAUGUUAUAAUACUACUCUAUCAUUUGAGUUAGUCAAUGGAUGAUCAGUGUUGGAGUUAGGAAACAGUCAAGCUUUUCGAAGCCCAACCUGUUGCUCCUGUAUGUUGUUGUCUCUACUGACAUAGAUUUAUUUUCUAUUGUUAGAGUAUAGUUUAAACAACAUUCUCAAAUAAAAUCCAUGCAUAAAUAUUUAAAGAAAAUUUUCUAUUCGUAUAAAAAAAUUCAUUUGUUCAUAAGAAAACUUUUUUAUAUAUGAAGAAACGCGGACUAUACCGUUUCACUAUCUUAUGUGCGGAUAUAAAGAAAAGUUCACUUCGUGAUUUUAUACUCUUUGGCUUCGACGAAGGUACAAGGCUGGCUUCCAAAAUGGGUAUCUUACCUAAACUUUGAAUACUCGAUUGCACAGUUCCCGACAUCCUAAUUAAUUUCUAAGGUAUCCUAAAGUUAUCCGAAAGAAAACUGAACGAUUAAUCUUAUAUGUAACAAUUUUACUGUACAAUGGAGUAUCGUAUUAAUAUCUAUAUUUUUUUUGUACAAUUUUGUUGCGAUGUUAUUUAAUUAAAUCUCAAAAAUCAUUAUCAAUA